Molecule: ribosomal RNA, 460 nt
Filed under: uncultured bacterium
Lineage: Bacteria
Description: partial 16S ribosomal RNA
Rfam family: Bacterial small subunit ribosomal RNA
Source: RNAcentral
CCUACGGGUGGCAGCAGUGAGGAAUAUUGGUCAAUGGCCGUAAGGCUGAACCAGCCAAGUCGCGUGAAGGAAGACGGAUCUAUGGUUUGUAAACUUCUUUUAUAGGGGAAUAAAGUUCAGCAUGUAUAGUGCUUUGCAUGUACCCUAUGAAUAAGCAUCGGCUAACUCCGUGCCAGCAGCCGCGGUAAUACGGAGGAGGCGAGCGUUAUCCGGAUUUAUUGGGGGUAAAGGGUGCGUAGGGUGUCUUUCAAGUCAGAGGUGAAAGCCUGUGGCUCAACCAUGAAACUGCCGCUGAAACUGGAAGACUGGAGUGUGUGUGAGGUAAGCGGAAUGCGUGGUGUAGCGGUGGAAUGCGUAGAUAUUAGGCAGAACACCGGUUGCGAAGGCAGCUCACUAAGCCAUAACUGACGCUGAGGCACGAAAGCGUGGGGAGCAAACAGGAUUAGAUACCCCAGUAGUC